This is a non-coding RNA of Phalacrocorax carbo (great cormorant), 1069 nucleotides long. The record is from RefSeq and is a predicted model, not a curated record. Lineage: Eukaryota; Metazoa; Chordata; Aves; Suliformes; Phalacrocoracidae.
GAGUAAGCGGCUGUGUAGUUGCUGACUGGGGUUAAACCACGACACAGUAGAGAGACAGACACAGCAUUUCAGCGUUAGGCUAGCUGAGUGUUAUUCUGACUGCCUACAGUGUCCAAAGUCAGGUGGGAUAAAGAUAAACUGGAAUAGAGGAAAAGUUUGUAGCAGAAGGUAACAUGAGAAGAAGGACUCUAAAAGGCCUCCAGGCCUGAAAUACAGCUCAUACAGAGAUCACCAAGGAACUGCAUUUACCUACAUGAAUGCAGAAGGUGAGAGAGGUUGUAGCACUGUACUGACAGUGAACUUCAGGCACUAAGCUAAGGACAUCUGAAAUGGAAGUUUUGCUAUCCCUGUUUCAGCCACUGAAGGAGAAAACACCAAGACUGAAAAGAAGCAGCAUCACUAUAUCUGCUGAAACUAGCACAGGGAGAGAGAGAGACUAAGAAGGGAGUCAUUUAAGAACAUGAGAGUAAGCUUCAAUUAUUUCUAAGCAGCGCUAUUGCAGAAUCUUAACUUGAAACAGAGACUGAGGAGAUCUGAAGCCCAAGUGUCAGAAGUCAAAGAUGUGAAUGAAAUACACUCAACUUUUCAUUAAAUAUGAAUACCUCCACCAGGCAACAACAGGGGGUCUUUUGCCGACAUGAUUUCAGACCAAAAGAAAGGCUUACAUUUUCUGAAAAUGUCUCAUUUUUUUCCAGCCAUAUGAAUUGCAAAAAUAAAAGAUGUUAUGUCUCAUUACAACUGAUGACACUUUGAGGCCUCAUAAGAAAACUCUCCAUGACUGAAAUAUUGGUUAAGUACAUUUUGUGAAAUUUAUUCUGUUGCUAGCAAUUGAUUUUUAAUUGUAUUGCCACAGUACUUCUGAAGUGAAAACGUUAGGAAGAUAGUUCUCUGCAAGUAUGAAUUUCAGCCCCCCAAAUCUUCUGCAUCAUCUUCUUGACAUACCUGGGAGAGGCUAAGCUGAUUGUUAAAGAGAAGAAAGAGGUAAUACCAGAGUAUUAAUAAUAAUCAUUGACAAAUGGCCUCUAGUCAGAGCUCCUGAGGGGUCAUGGGGUCACAACAAAGCUGAAGU